Molecule: ribosomal RNA, 551 nt
Filed under: uncultured archaeon
Lineage: Archaea
Description: bacterial SSU rRNA
Rfam family: Archaeal small subunit ribosomal RNA
Source: RNAcentral
CCCUACGGGGUGCAGCAGGCGCGAAAACUUUACAAUGCUGGCAACAGCGAUAAGGGAACCUCGAGUGCCAGGUUACAAUCUGGCUGUCGAGAUGCCUAAAAAGCAUUUCAUAGCAAGGGCCGGGCAAGACCGGUGCCAGCCGCCGCGGUAACACCGGCGGCUCGAGUGGUAACCGUUAUUAUUGGGUCUAAAGGGUCUGUAGCCGGCCGGAUAAGUCUCUUGAGAAAUCUGGCAGCUUAACUGUCAGGCUUUCAGGAGAUACUGUCUGGCUCGAGGCCGGGAGAGGUGAGAGGUACUUCAGGGGUAGGGGUGAAAUCUUGUAAAUCCUUGAAGGACCACCAGUGGCGAAGGCGUCUCACCAGAACGGACCUGACGGCAAGGGACGAAAGCUAGGGGCACGAACCGGAUUAGAUACCCGGGUAGUCCUAGCCGUAAACGAUACUCGCUAGGUGUCGGCCACGGUGCGACCGUUGUCGGUGCCGUAGGGAAGCCGUGAAGCGAGCCACCUGGGAAGUACGGCCGCAAGGCUGAAACUUAAAGGAAUUGGCGGG